This is a long non-coding RNA of Amphiprion ocellaris (clown anemonefish), 407 nucleotides long. The record is from Ensembl. Lineage: Eukaryota; Metazoa; Chordata; Actinopteri; Pomacentridae.
AGUGUACAGAACAUAACAUGGUGCAAGGUUGGGAUUCACAUUUCUACAUCCUAGACUCCUCCUCACAUCUCAGUCCCUCCCACCAGAGCAGCGAGCAGAGGAGCUGAUGAAGAAUCACAAGGAGUUGGGCAAUGAGCAUUCAACGAAAUCAGACAUCCUUGCCUCAGAGCCUUUGUUUCAAAGCGACUUGGUCUGGACUUCCACCUGUUCGCACACCAUCCGCUCCUAUAUCUGGACUCAUCUGACUUCUGGUUCCUCCUUCGUCAGCUCGACUCCUUCACCUCUUUGUCCUGAAGUCCCCUCCGAAUAUUCACCUGGAUCAUCCACCCGUCUUCCCGACGACGUCUCCCCUCACAUCACACCAGCCGCCGCAGUCCUUACCCCCUGUUGUGCUUCCCAGCUCUCCA